GUUUUGAUCUUUUGUAUUCCUGAGGUAUUGAUGGUUACGCUUAGAGUUUCCGUUUUUUCUUUUUUUUUUUGUUUCCACAGAUGCUGACCUGAGAAGUGCAAGCCUUGGAUUUCCACAAGCACAAAGAUAUGGACCAGAUGACAGGGAUUACUGCAGGACCAUCUGGAGGGUGGUGCGGUUGUAUUGCCUUUGUGCUGUUUUCAACUGAAUAUAUGUCAAAAAGGAUUAACAAAUGAUCACAUUCUGUUUUGUUUUGCACAGUGUCCCAAUCAUUUUGGAACUGUGAUUGUAAAAAUAAGUAGUUGAGUAGUUAGAAAAUUCUCAUAUUCUGUCCUAUUUCUGUUAUAUACAGCAACCCCUGACCCCACCCUCUACACCUGUCCAGACGACGAGGGCCGCCCGGGCCCGACCAGCACAGGGGAUGCUGUUGUUUCCAUUCACUUCUUCUGUGCUGGUGGGUUUGGGAUGCUCCUCACAGAUCUGCACAUCGGAAGUUGCCACCAACUCACUGCAUCUCGACUCAGAAGUCAAGUCAGUUAAGAAAUUGAGUCAGUUCAUUCUAGGAAAAAAAAGAUAAAUAAUAAAUACUGUGAAUUUUUUAAUUCAGUGUGUUUCUGAUUUUAAUUUUACUGAAAUGUUUUCCAAUGUUGAAUUUUAUUUCCUUGUUACGAAACUGUAAGGGAAUCAUGCAGCUCUUUUAAGCCCUAAGAGAAGUGACUAUUGUUCUGAAGCACUGACAAUAAUCAUUAAUACAAAAUCAGAGAGCAGGACUAGAAGCACAAAUGUUUUAAGAUACUAAGCUUGUGAUGUCCUUGAACAAAGCAGAGAACUUCAAAAAUGUUCCAGAUGAGCUACACAUUAGCCGACCACUCACAUGGUUGUGAAUGUGUAAAAUUGUAUGAAGCAGAGUUUCAAUAAACACUGUCAAACCUCGUCAGCCAAA
Molecule: long non-coding RNA, 943 nt
Organism: Scatophagus argus
Lineage: Eukaryota; Metazoa; Chordata; Actinopteri; Scatophagidae
Exons: 2
Source: RefSeq, a predicted model, not a curated record